RNAcentral lists this ribosomal RNA (635 nucleotides) under Mycobacterium sp. Se1Pt_364. RNAcentral describes it as "bacterial SSU rRNA". It matches the Rfam family "Bacterial small subunit ribosomal RNA", at positions 378 to 1022 of the family's 1533-position model. The record is from RNAcentral. Lineage: Bacteria; Bacillati; Actinomycetota; Actinomycetes; Mycobacteriales; Mycobacteriaceae. RNAcentral also lists the same sequence under 1 other name.
GCAGCCUGAUGCAGCGACGCCGCGUGAGGGAUGACGGCCUUCGGGUUGUAAACCUCUUUCAGCAGGGACGAAGCGCAAGUGACGGUACCUGUAGAAGAAGGACCGGCCAACUACGUGCCAGCAGCCGCGGUAAUACGUAGGGUCCGAGCGUUGUCCGGAAUUACUGGGCGUAAAGAGCUCGUAGGUGGUUUGUCGCGUUGUUCGUGAAAACUCACAGCUUAACUGUGGGCGUGCGGGCGAUACGGGCAGACUUGAGUACUGCAGGGGAGACUGGAAUUCCUGGUGUAGCGGUGGAAUGCGCAGAUAUCAGGAGGAACACCGGUGGCGAAGGCGGGUCUCUGGGCAGUAACUGACGCUGAGGAGCGAAAGCGUGGGGAGCGAACAGGAUUAGAUACCCUGGUAGUCCACGCCGUAAACGGUGGGUACUAGGUGUGGGUUUCCUUCCUUGGGAUCCGUGCCGUAGCUAACGCAUUAAGUACCCCGCCUGGGGAGUACGGCCGCAAGGCUAAAACUCAAAGAAAUUGACGGGGGCCCGCACAAGCGGCGGAGCAUGUGGAUUAAUUCGAUGCAACGCGAAGAACCUUACCUGGGUUUGACAUGCACAGGACGUGCCUAGAGAUAGGUAUUCCCUUGUG